AGUGAACGCUGGCGGUAGGCCUAACACAUGCAAGUCGAACGGCAGCACAGAGGAGCUUGCUCCUUGGGUGGCGAGUGGCGGACGGGUGAGGAAUACAUCGGAAUCUACUCUGUCGUGGGGGAUAACGUAGGGAAACUUACGCUAAUACCGCAUACGACCUACGGGUGAAAGCAGGGGAUCUUCGGACCUUGCGCGAUUGAAUGAGCCGAUGUCGGAUUAGCUAGUUGGCGGGGUAAAGGCCACCAAGGCGACGAUCCGUAGCUGGUCUGAGAGGAGAACGAGCCACACUGGAACUGAGAAACGGGCCAGACUCCUACGGGAGGCAGCAGGGGGGAAUAUUGGACAAUGGGCGCAAGCCUGAUCCAGCCAUACCGCGUGGGUGAAGAAGGCCUUCGGGUUGUGAAGCCCUUUUGUUGGGAAAGAAAUCCAUCUGGUUAAUACCCGGAUGGGAUGACGGUACCCAAAGACUAAGCACCGGCUAACUUCGUGCCAGCAGCCGCCGUAA
Molecule: ribosomal RNA, 505 nt
Filed under: uncultured bacterium
Lineage: Bacteria
Description: partial 16S ribosomal RNA
Rfam family: Bacterial small subunit ribosomal RNA
Source: RNAcentral